This 731-nucleotide ribosomal RNA is filed under the name uncultured bacterium. RNAcentral describes it as "bacterial SSU rRNA". It matches the Rfam family "Bacterial small subunit ribosomal RNA", at positions 62 to 794 of the family's 1533-position model. The record is from RNAcentral.
UCGAGGGGUAUAUGUCUUCGGAUAUAGAGACCGGCGCACGGGUGCGUAACGCGUAUGCAAUCUACCUUUUACAGAGGGAUAGCCCAGAGAAAUUUGGAUUAAUACCUCAUAGUAUAGUGACUCGGCAUCGAGAUACUAUUAAAGUCACAACGGUAAAAGAUGAGCAUGCGUCCCAUUAGCUAGUUGGUAAGGUAACGGCUUACCAAGGCUACGAUGGGUAGGGGUCCUGAGAGGGAGAUCCCCCACACUGGUACUGAGACACGGACCAGACUCCUACGGGAGGCAGCAGUGAGGAAUAUUGGACAAUGGGCGCAAGCCUGAUCCAGCCAUGCCGCGUGCAGGAUGACGGUCCUAUGGAUUGUAAACUGCUUUUGUACGAGAAGAAACACUCCUUCGUGAAGGAGCUUGACGGUAUCGUAAGAAUAAGGAUCGGCUAACUCCGUGCCAGCAGCCGCGGUAAUACGGAGGAUCCAAGCGUUAUCCGGAAUCAUUGGGUUUAAAGGGUCCGUAGGCGGUUUAGUAAGUCAGUGGUGAAAGCCCAUCGCUCAACGGUGGAACGGCCAUUGAUACUGCUAAACUUGAAUUAUUAGGAAGUAACUAGAAUAUGUAGUGUAGCGGUGAAAUGCUUAGAGAUUACAUGGAAUACCAAUUGCGAAGGCAGGUUACUACUAAUGGAUUGACGCUGAUGGACGAAAGCGUGGGUAGCGAACAGGAUUAGAUACCCUGGUAGU